GGAGUAAAAGGNUAUGGCUCAACCAUAGUGUGCUNUGGAAACUGUCUGACUUGAGUGCAGAAGGGGAGAGUGAAAUUCCAUGUGUAGCGGUGAAAUGCGUAGAUAUAUGGAGGAACACCAGUGGCGAAAGCGGCUCUCUGGUCUGUCACUGACGCUGAGGCUCGAAAGCGUGGGUAGCGAACAGGAUUAGAUACCCUGGUAGUCCACGCCGUAAACGAUGAGUGCUAGGUGUUAGGCCCUUUCCGGGGCUUAGUGCCGGAGCUAACGCAAUAAGCACUCCGCCUGGGGAGUACGACCGCAAGGUUGAAACUCAAAGGAAUUGACGGGGGCCCGCACAAGCGGUGGAGCAUGUGGUUUAAUUCGAAGCAACGCGAAGAACCUUACCAGGUCUUGACAUCCCGAUGCUAUUCUUAGAGAUAGGGAGUUACUUCGGUACAUCGGAGACAGGUGGUGCAUGGUUGUCGUCAGCUCGUGUCGUGAGAUGUUGGGUUAAGUCCCGCAACGAGCGCAACCCUUAUUGUUAGUUGCCAUCAUUAAGUUGGGCACUCUAGCGAGACUGCCGGUAAUAAACCGGAGGAAGGUGGGGAUGACGUCAAAUCAUCAUGCCCCUUAUGACCUGGGCUACACACGUGCUACAAUGGUCGGUACAACGAGUUGCGAGCCGGUGACGGCAAGCUAAUCUCUGAAAGCCGAUCUCAGUUCGGAUUGGAGGCUGCAACUCGCCUCCAUGAAGUCGGAAUCGCUAGUAAUCGCGGAUCAGCACGCCGCGGUGAAUACGUUCCCGGGCCUUGUACACACCGCCCGUCACACCACGAGAGUUUGUAACACCCGAAGUCGGUGAGGUAACCUUUUAGGGGCCAGCCGC
This 865-nucleotide ribosomal RNA is filed under the name uncultured bacterium. Its description in RNAcentral is "bacterial SSU rRNA". It matches the Rfam family "Bacterial small subunit ribosomal RNA", at positions 591 to 1456 of the family's 1533-position model. The record is from RNAcentral.